CUAAAAGAUCCAUUCACUUUUAAAGGGCGGGACUUACUCUUGCUCCAUUUUUCAACUUCAAGGAUGUACGCGAUUACGAUCAGUCAAAGACGUCAUUCUCGCUGUGUUCAGACAGAGGAGAGCGAGAUGAGCAGCAGCCGGCAGAAUACGGCAACAUCUUGCAGCAAUACAUCCUAACCCGCGCAAGACCCCGCCAGGAUGGCAGGACCCCAGGGAGCGGCGGAUGGUUAUGAUGAUGACCUAACAAGCGGUUGAAUCAAUGGUGUUAUCCUGCACACGACUCUCUCUCUUUAUAUCCCUCCACACCUCAACCUCACAUGCAACUUGCAACAGCAAGCAUGAGCCAUGGUUCAUUUUACUAUCUUUCUUCAUUAAAGUGAUAAUUCGGA
Long non-coding RNA from Penaeus monodon (black tiger shrimp), 389 nucleotides. RefSeq lists it as uncharacterized. The transcript has 3 exons. NCBI's taxonomy places the organism in Eukaryota, Metazoa, Arthropoda, Malacostraca, Decapoda, Penaeidae. The record is from RefSeq and is a predicted model, not a curated record.